This 235-nucleotide long non-coding RNA is filed under the name Ananas comosus (pineapple). RNAcentral's name for it is "long non-coding RNA (ACOM_LNC015128)". The record is from RNAcentral. Lineage: Eukaryota; Viridiplantae; Streptophyta; Magnoliopsida; Poales; Bromeliaceae.
AACAUCUACACACGUACAAUGAUUCAUUUUUGAUCACAUACAUUGUAUUUAACCUUUACAUUCACGAUUCUUUACAUUGCUUUUCCUCAUUUCUUUUUUACAUCACAUUUGCUCAUAAUAACACAUUACAUUCUUUUCUUUAACAUCUCAAAUCAUCGAAUACAAAAGAUGAUGUAAGGGUAUGCUACUAGCAAAUGUAUAAAACCCGACUCGGGUAGCCUCUGUCUACAGCGCG